RNAcentral lists this ribosomal RNA (398 nucleotides) under uncultured Glomeromycotina. RNAcentral's name for it is "SSU rRNA". It matches the Rfam family "Eukaryotic small subunit ribosomal RNA", at positions 569 to 970 of the family's 1831-position model. Lineage: Eukaryota; Fungi; Glomeromycota. The record is from RNAcentral.
AGCAGCCGCGGUAAAUUCCAGCUCCAAUAGCGUAUAUUAAAGUUGUUGCAGUUAAAAAGCUCGUAGUUGAAUUUUAGGCCUGGCCGGGCGGUCCGUCUUUGGCGAGUACUGUCCUGUGUCGGGUCCACCUUCUGGUGAACCAGUAUGUCCUUUAUUGGGUGUGCCGGGGAGCCAGGACCAUUACCUUGAAAAAAUUAGAGUGUUUAAAGCAGGCAUUUGCUUGAAUAGAUUAGCAUGGAAUAAUAGAAUAGGACGUUGUGGUUCUAUUUUGUUGGUUUCUAGGACCACCGUAAUGAUUAAUAGGGAUAGUUGGGGGCAUUAGUAUUCAAUUGUCAGAGGUGAAAUUCUUGGAUUUAUUGAAGACUAACUAUUGCGAAAGCAUUUGCCAAGGAUGUUUU